Molecule: small RNA, 168 nt
Filed under: Rhodococcus triatomae
Lineage: Bacteria; Bacillati; Actinomycetota; Actinomycetes; Mycobacteriales; Nocardiaceae
Description: Magnesium sequence
Rfam family: M-box riboswitch aptamer (ykoK leader)
About the family: M-box riboswitch, also know as ykoK leader is described as a metaloregulatory RNA that sense divalent metals and function as a genetic control element of genes related to divalent metal transport in bacteria. It was first reported upstream of the B.subtilis ykoK gene and genes with related functions in other bacteria.
Source: Rfam by way of RNAcentral
GCAGCAUCUCGUUAGGCGAGGCUCCUGCACGAAUACAGGCCACUGACCUCACGACGUCGAGAGACGCCCAAGGUCAGGACAGAUCUUCCCGGAUUAAGGGGUGAUCCCAAGUGGCUUCCCGCGAGGGACACGUCGUGCAGUGUCGAAGCUUUUACGUGGAGAUGCACC